RNAcentral lists this ribosomal RNA (241 nucleotides) under uncultured bacterium. RNAcentral's name for it is "partial 16S ribosomal RNA". It matches the Rfam family "Bacterial small subunit ribosomal RNA", at positions 91 to 334 of the family's 1533-position model. The record is from RNAcentral.
CUAAGUGGCGGACGGGUGGGUAAUGUAUAGUUAAUCUGCCCUUUAGAGGGGGAUAACAGUUGGAAACGACUGCUAAUACCCCAUACUCCUUUUACAUUAAUUGUAAUUGGGAAACGUUUUUUCGCUAAAGGAUGAGACUAUAUGGUAUCAGGUAGUUGGUGGGGUAAGAGCCCACCAAGCCAAUGACGCCUAGCUGGUCUGAGAGGAUGAUCAGCCACACUGGAACUGAGACACGGUCCAG